RNAcentral lists this ribosomal RNA (666 nucleotides) under Triticum aestivum (bread wheat). Its description in RNAcentral is "partial small subunit ribosomal RNA". The record is from RNAcentral. Lineage: Eukaryota; Viridiplantae; Streptophyta; Magnoliopsida; Poales; Poaceae.
AUGACCCAUGAGAUGGCUACAGCUAUUUUUCAUAGGCUUGGCCAAGUUGAUUUGUUUUUCUCAAAUGACAGUACUGGACAGAUAUGGAGGAAAUUCGUCGAGCCCGACUUUGCUACAACUGUUUUGGCGAACGCGGACCCAAUGAUCGUACAAUCAAUCAGGGAUAGCUUCCAAGAAGGAACAUCAUCCUGCAACCCAGCUUCAUGUCGAAUGUGGUACAUCCCGACGAUACUACCUGAUGGUUGGACCGUUUAUGCUUUUGAUAUGUUGCGGAAAAGAAUAAUUGUAUUAGACCCAGCUAUUGGACCGUUUGGGUAUAGCAACCGCCGAGUCAGCAUGCAUGAAUUUGUUAGCAACAAGCUCCACGCCGCGUUAUUCACAUGCCUCCAGAGUUUCUUCAGCUCUUGGCAUUGUGAAUCAGGCCACUGGGGACGCACUUUCCCGAUCAUAAUUAGGGAAACGAUUGAGAAAGAGCAGACUGGGUUGUGUGCCACCUUCUUUGCAUGGAAUUACGACGGCGACAAGCUACAGACACCACUAAAUAAAGACACGCUUGCAUCACACAGAAGCCUGAUGAUCUAUGAACUAAUGAGGAUGCAAGGCAACCAAACUCCAGUGGCAAACGAUGCCCUUGAAGCGGUGAAAGUAUCGUUCACUGCUCUUUAG